AUUUUUGUACAAGUAUCUCAUGCAAUAUUUGGGACAUACUUAUACUAAAA
RNAcentral lists this microRNA precursor (50 nucleotides) under Ailuropoda melanoleuca (giant panda). Its description in RNAcentral is "mir-1302". The record is from RNAcentral. Lineage: Eukaryota; Metazoa; Chordata; Mammalia; Carnivora; Ursidae.